UUACAUGCAAAGCAAAUUCCUUUCAACAAGUGAAGAUUGAAGGUACCAUCCAUGGCUACCAGCAAAUUUGGAUUUGUCACUCUCCUCCUCCUAUGCAGCAUUGUUUUUGUGCAUGGAUGUGAAGUGAAGCAUGCAAAUGGCCAAGUAAAAGCUUGCACUCUAGAGUGUGACCCUCGAGCAAAGUUUAUCAUUUGCCCUCGGGAAUCGAAGGCGAUGCAAAUUGGUCAACUUUGUGAAAACUGUUGCACGGCACAAAGUCGUGGGUGCAUGUUGUACAACUUCUUUGGAUAUCCCAUUUGCAAGGAUGAACAAUCUUUCUUCAAUAAGAUUAGACUAUGGUUUAAUUAACUAGAUCCGGUCGGUCCAUGCAUGCAUGCAGCCAAUGAAAAAAUGACACGUAAACGCUGAGUUUGCAGUACUCUAUCUUUGAAUAAUGAGGAGAUUAGGCUUAUGUGUAAGCAAAUAUCAAAUUGGCCUGUUUAAUUUGUUCUAAAAUGUAAGUCAGAAUAAUGAGAUUUGUCUCAUGGUACCAUACUUAUAA
Long non-coding RNA from Ipomoea nil (Japanese morning glory), 541 nucleotides. RefSeq lists it as uncharacterized. The transcript has 2 exons. The record is from RefSeq and is a predicted model, not a curated record. Lineage: Eukaryota; Viridiplantae; Streptophyta; Magnoliopsida; Solanales; Convolvulaceae.